AGGAAGUUGUUCCCAAUAACACUGAGCAGAAGCAAAUUCCAAGAGAAGACACACUCUACCAACACUACCUGGAACAGCUUCGUAAACUGAGCAAAUACAACAAAC
Callorhinus ursinus (northern fur seal) is the source of this 105-nucleotide non-coding RNA. NCBI's taxonomy places the organism in Eukaryota, Metazoa, Chordata, Mammalia, Carnivora, Otariidae. The record is from RefSeq and is a predicted model, not a curated record.